Molecule: long non-coding RNA, 857 nt
Organism: Peromyscus leucopus (white-footed mouse)
Lineage: Eukaryota; Metazoa; Chordata; Mammalia; Rodentia; Cricetidae
Exons: 4
Source: RefSeq, a predicted model, not a curated record
UUUUGGAAUGUAUCUUUGAGGUUAUCUAUUGAGAAGACUGGCAUUGUAGCAGGGAGCUGAGUAGAAAAGACCCACCCUCAGUCAGUGUGGGAGAGCACACCGCCUGACCAGCUGAGGAACCGGACAGAAACAAAGAUGCCACCAGAUUGCCUCCUCUUUCCCUACAUGAUGUAAACAAAACUACAUAUCAAAGCAGGCUCAACCAGCCGGUCCAUUGAAGGAGGUGACUGUGUCCUCCAGGAAGACUAUCAGAGAAGAAGGGAUGAGUCAGACAGAACCAGCCAGGGACCAGCAUGGUCUCUGUGCACAGCAUGGCGCUGUGGUACCCGUCGGUGCGCACAGACAUAUGUUAUUACUGCUGUUUAGAAGGGGAAAGAAAGACGCAGAGAAGCUAAGAAAAGACCACACAUGUUCAGGGACAAAGGAAGGGCACUACCCUGCAAACUGGCCCUUUCAACACUCGCAGAUGUUCACGAACCUUAAUGUCUCCUGUGCGUGUGGUGCCAAUAUCUGCCCACAGGCUUUGAUUCCAGUGACCAAACCCAGAGAAAGAGGCAGCGACACGGUUUUCAUUGCUGUCUUGAAAACGAUCAGACAUGCGGUCCUUUCACGUCCUCAACUUUGUACAGUCACGUUCCAGCAGCGACAGACACCUUUGCUCUCGGGUCCUGCCUUGAGUUCCCACCUGCGGCCUGUUCGGAUACAAGCUUGUGCACUCUGGCCCGCACCCACCGUCACGACCACACAGCAGCGAUGAACAAAGCCUAAGCCCCGUGGCUCCGAUGUGAGACUAUUAUACGGUGAGGACUACAGUGUUUCUAACAUGCAGCCAACGCUUUUCGAUCUCGUAGGAAUAA